Molecule: RNA transcript, 2952 nt
Organism: Trichomycterus rosablanca
Lineage: Eukaryota; Metazoa; Chordata; Actinopteri; Siluriformes; Trichomycteridae
Gene: apba2a
Gene name: amyloid beta (A4) precursor protein-binding, family A, member 2a
Exons: 13
Source: RefSeq, a predicted model, not a curated record
CACAUGCACAAUGCUCGUAGCUGCUUGAACCAACGCAACGCAACUAUAUUACAUUCAGGUUAUUUCACCAAGAAAAGCUCUGAAGGACUUUCACUAACCAGGACUUAGUAAAGCCAGUUAUGGCUCUCAGACGAGGCUACAGUUCAAGGGCCGAACCCGAUCCUUCCCUAUAUUCCUCGGCUGGACCAGAGCAGCCUGAGGACCACUCCAACGACAUUGAUGAUUCUGAAGAACUUCACAGCAGCACCCCGGAAACCCAACCCAGUACGCCAAUCUUGACCAGCUUUUGCACCACCAAUGGUUCUGCCUCAGGUGAGGACUGCGUCCAUGGCGAGAGUCCUAUUCAACCUGAUAACAUGGAGGAAGACUUACUGUCUGAAUAUGAUAACGUGGGAUCAGAAAGGGAGCAAGAGCAGGACUACGAGGAAGAUGAGGAGCUGCGGACAGAAGCAGAUGGGAUGACUUACUAUGUUCAUUGUUGCCCUGAGGACGAGAGCUACAUGGAUGGAAUGGAUUGUCAUGAGGGUGCUGAUAGCAGUGACAAACCAAGCACUUCCAAAGAUCCAGAUGCUGGAGUAAAGCCAAUAGAUGCCUGGAAAUACCCUGAAGGGUUUUGUGAAGGCGCAGAGCAAAAGGAUUUCAAACGUCCUAAACCAAUCAGUGAAGCUACCUUUAUUCAAGCUCCAAUGGCUGAGAAUGAGGAAGAUGAAGAAGAAGAGGAGGUGGAAGAUGAUGAUGAUGAGGAUGCUGUGGAGGAGAAGGAAAAGUGUUUUGUUUAUGACCAAGAGAAGGCUGGGCAUUGUAAUUUACUGCAGGACAGUAGAAAUCCUCCUCAGGGACUAAAUUACAGUCCAAGAAAGAGUAAAGAAGAUGAUUUAUGUAAUAAUUUUAGAGUGAACAAAAGUAUCUCAGAAAGGUGUAGGGGAAAUACACAGAAGUCUUUUAGUGGCUUUACGGAGGUUAAAAAACAGGUCAAUGCAAUAAAAAAAGUUGACAGUCCAGGAGAUUGUAAAGUUGUCAAGGCAGAUAAAAACCCAAGACAAGUGUUAGAAUGCAUUUAUAAGGACAGCAGUGACUGCAAAAAUUGCAAAGGUAGUGAACAUAAUGAAGCAUCCAAACGUGAUCUUGUGAGUAGACCAGAUUUAAAAAAAAGACACUUAUACAGACAACAUGCUGAGAAAGCAGGAGAAAACAGGCCGUUACAUGUGGAUAAUGAAAGCCCUAAACACAGUACAAAGAAGGGACAGGAGCGUUCUCAGAGUAAUUACAGACCAAAGUCCAGGAGAGACAGGCAACCACCAAUGGACAAAAAUAAGAAUGUUGAUCAGAUCAAAAAUGAAGUUAGGAUGAAAUUAAAAGUAGAACCUCAGAGCACCAGAUCAAACAAGGGUGUAGUUGAGCAGUCAUGUGAUGAGAAACAAAUUUUAGAAAGUUCUCAAGCUUCAUCAGUUCCAUCACAGAGAGAAGAAUGCAAACCCAAAGCAACCGACACACCAAGGAAACCCCCAGACUCACGGGUGCAAAAAGACAUGGUUAAAUCAUCCAAAGAAGAGGAAUUGAGGUCCAGUCAGGACCAGAUAACUCAGAACAGCCAACAGAACUGCACAGGAAACUUGCAAUGUGAUACUUCCACAGCAGCAAGCAACCAUAACCCUCCUCAGCAGGUAAAAAGAAGUCCCUCUUUUCCAAGUUUUGUGGACGUACCAGGUCCGUGUGAACCUGAGGACCUCAUUGAUGGGAUCAUCUUUGCAGCUAACUACCUCGGCUCCACCCAGCUCCUGUCAGACCGAAACCCAUCUAAGAAUAUGCGCAUGAUGCAAGCUCAGGAAGCUGUAGACAGAGUUAAGUGUCUGGACGAAGAGAACCAGACCCUGGUCGAGGUUGAUCUCUUUAUUUCAACCAAAGCAAUCAAAGUGCUUAAUGCUGACACACAGGAAACGAUGAUAGACAACGCUCUUCGGACUAUCUCCUACAUUGCAGACAUUGGAAGUGUGGUGGUCCUGAUGGCUCGCAGACGAGUGGCACAGUCUGCCAUGCUGGACUGUAACAACCCCAACUCAGAGGGCAGGAAACAGUACAGAAUGAUCUGUUACGUUUUUGAGUCUGAGGAUGCUCAGCUCAUUGCACAGUCCAUUGGUCAGGCAUUUAGCAUGGCCUACCAGGAAUUUUUGCGAGCAAAUGGGAUCAACCCUAAGGACCUCAGCCAGAAAGACUACAGCGAUGUUCUUAAUUCACAAGAGAUGUACAACGAUGACCUCAUCCACUUCUCAAACUCAGAAAACUGCAAAGAGCUGCACCUAGAAAAACAGAAAGGGGAGAUUCUGGGUGUGGUGAUAGUGGAGUCUGGCUGGGGUUCUAUCCUACCCACAGUCAUCUUAGCCUGUAUGCUGAAUAGUGGGCCAGCUGCCCGGUCGGGAAAGCUAAACGUGGGCGACCAGAUCAUGGCUGUUAAUGACACAAGUUUGGUGGGCUUGCCCCUUGCUACCUGCCAAGGCAUCAUCAAGGGCUUAAAGAAUCAGUUGCAUAUAAAGCUAAGUGUCGUAAGCUGCCCUCCUGUUACCACUGUGUUAAUAAAGAGACCGGAGCUGCAAUACCCUCUGGGCUUCAGUGUACAAAAUGGCAUAAUCUGUAGCCUGAUGCGAGGUGGAAUAGCAGAACGGGGAGGAGUUCGUGUGGGCCAUAGAAUAAUUGAGAUUAAUGGACAAAGUGUCGUUGCAAUGGCUCAUGAGAAAAUCGUCCAUGCCUUAUCAGUGUCUGUUGGAGAGAUUCACAUGAAAACCAUGCCUGCUGUGAUGUACAGACUGCUAACUGGACAGGAGAUGCCAGUAUACAUUUAAUUACAAGGCUGGUGUUCUGGAAGCUCAGUGAUGCUCUGUUCUGACUGCAACCUACUUCACCUACCUAGAAAAGGAAGCCAAGGAAAAAAAGAUAAAGGCAGCUGUAGCAGCCAUC